AAGCUGGCAACAGGAUGCAUUGUUUCAAAUUAAAGGCACAAUCCGCUUCUCAUACCUCAUGGAAGGUUAGGCGAAGAGACUGAUGGAAAAGAAAGUCUCGGCUAUCUUCAUUAAGCGGCACGUACAGGUUUUCCUGCCUUAUCUAAUGACACCAUAUCAGCCAUCUAAUGAAUCCCCGGGCCAUAAAUAAAAACUCAUGAGAACGAACCAACUUAAGCCCCGCCAGAUUUGUAGGAUAUAACGAGUUUUAUGUUUUUCCUAUUUCUUUGGGGAGCAAUUCAUCAGUGAGAGAAAUGCAUCUUCCUUGGAUUGAGGAUUUUUUCGGUAAAAGGGCGUAUGAGGCUUGCAAUGCUGCAAUGCUAAGGAAGAACGCCGUAUGAUCCAUCAGGCGUUGCCAAAUUUCCUACGAAAAACAACGAAUUUCCAGGAAAUUUUGUGAAUAUUCCUCCUCCGAUUUUUCGGAGAAUUUUGUUCGAAAUUGUAUCUAAAAAGUCUGGAAAUUUCAAGAAAAAUAUUCAUAACUUUCUUCCGAAAUACAUAUUUUCUGAGAGGAAAUUUGGCAAUAUUCGAAUAUAAUACGGCGUUUUUCCUUAGCACGGCAGAAUGCUGCUGAGAUUGUGCAAUUUUUAUAGCGUUUGCGGUAGAUGAAAUUCAUUCAAAGUCGCUUAGUGAGGAAAAAGUCGGAGCAGAUUCAAGGAAAAAUUCAUAGCAGAACUGUCGGAUAAGGUACUUACAAUUUUUAUUUUUUCUUUUCUUUUCACCCCGAGGGGCUUCGUUUAUUAGCGUACAAAAACAUAUGUACGUGGAACUGGGGAGGACAGAGCCCCAGCCCGAAGGCCUAUAGGCACAAACUAAUAAUCAGGGUGGAUUCACUGCUAUGAGAUUCUUACAAUUAGAAAACUACGUUGCACAAUCGUAGCAGCAUUGCAAGUAUCAUACGCCUUUUUACCGAAAAAUGCCUCAAUUCCUCAUUGAUGGAAAAAUUAUGAAUUUGUCCUGUAUUUUUUACUCUUUUUGACCAAACUGAAUUUUUGUUCGAUAAAAUGAUGUUAUCAUAAUAGGGUCAAAACUCAAACCCCGAAACUAACGGACUAGCAAGGCAUUUGACAAGGAAUCUAAAAGUAUGCCUGUUACACAGUUCAGUCAAGGGGCUCUAUUCUUCCUCUAAAUAUUUACUGUUCCGCCUAUGAAUGGUGCAACGAUGCCACAUCCUGGAAAAAAUUAGGUAGAAGUAGUUUUCAGCGUAAAUAGCUAGAUAUUCAUUUGAUGCAAAGAGUCUGCUACAUAUCAAAGGCCGCAUACUGACUCGUUUUUGUUUUUUUUUUUGUUUUUUUUUGGGGGGGCGGGGUAGAUAUACCUCUGAAUUCCUAAAGGAUUAAGGCUUUGACUUAGCGAUUAAAGAAAUCAAACGGUAUUUUCUGUUGUCAUGACAGUCCUCGCGUGUUUUCACUUUCCGCCCGUCUCAUUUUCAAUUAACAGGUAACACAGUAAACAAUAAACAUUUCGGGUAGGUGACUUCGGGAGACAGUAGACGAUCUGUGAAGUUGCCAUAUCUAGGAAAUCCCUCCGCUACACUUCGCGAAACACUCAGGUUUCUGCUAAUAAAGUCAACGCCUCAGUUCUGGUGGAGAGGUCACUCAAAUUACCGUGACGAUCACUUUCAAUUUCAACAAUCAAACCCGUAGUCACAACAGAUCCCGUUACGGUGGAAAGGGUAUCGCAAUCCCAGGUAACACUCAGGUGUGAUUCUUGCGAAAAAGUAACGGGUUCGAUGCGGCCUUGAGGUGAGCGGCGCGCCAUCACCUCAGAACAAAACGCGGUGCAUUAUGCCGAUUGUUUCGCACAACGGUGACGUAUUGUUCCGGUGAUUAUCCGCUCGAAAAGGGUGGCCGAAAGGGUGGUCACUGGUCAAUGCGUCGGCCUUUUAAUCGGACUGAGGAAUUCGAGGGAUGGCCUUGCUAUUGAACUAUAGCAACAUCAUGGAAUCUUCUGGUAGGGUGGCAAUAUUGAUAUCUCGGCACUCUUGUAUUG
This 2031-nucleotide long non-coding RNA is filed under the name Bemisia tabaci. Its description in RNAcentral is "lncRNA ENSSSA1UGG002744". The record is from RNAcentral. Lineage: Eukaryota; Metazoa; Arthropoda; Insecta; Hemiptera; Aleyrodidae.